RNAcentral lists this long non-coding RNA (199 nucleotides) under Elaeis guineensis (African oil palm). RNAcentral's name for it is "long non-coding RNA (EGUI_LNC082953)". Lineage: Eukaryota; Viridiplantae; Streptophyta; Magnoliopsida; Arecales; Arecaceae. The record is from RNAcentral.
CUUAUUGAAGAAGCUCGGCUGAAGUCCACCUGUAACAGAAGUUCGGAAGGAAUUCGUUUACAGUAGAAACUCGGAUAGAAUUCGCUUAAAGUAGAGAUCCGGAGUAGACCGCUCGUAGUAAAAGUUUGGAGUAGGCCGCUUGCAGUAGAAGUUCGGAGUAGACUGCUUGCAGUAGAAGUUCGGAGUAGAGAUCUGGCUG